This 71-nucleotide transfer RNA is filed under the name Loxodonta africana (African savanna elephant). It matches the Rfam family "tRNA". Rfam says of the family: Transfer RNA (tRNA) molecules are approximately 80 nucleotides in length. Their secondary structure includes four short double-helical elements and three loops (D, anti-codon, and T loops). Lineage: Eukaryota; Metazoa; Chordata; Mammalia; Proboscidea; Elephantidae. The record is from Rfam by way of RNAcentral.
GUAUCAGUGGUUCAGUGGUAGAAUUCUCGCCUUCCAAGCUGGAGACCCGGGUUCGAUUCCCAGCCAGUGCA